Molecule: non-coding RNA, 129 nt
Organism: Podarcis lilfordi (Lilford's wall lizard)
Lineage: Eukaryota; Metazoa; Chordata; Lepidosauria; Squamata; Lacertidae
Source: the annotation of a GenBank genome assembly
GCAGGGCACUGCACGCCGGGCUUAGGGCAGCUAUCUGCAAGCCUGCGGAGCCCGGCGGGAGUUCCCGUCGGGCUCCGUAGGCUUGCGGAUAGGUGCUUGCAACCUGAAGCCUGGGGAGCGCGGCACUGC